This is a long non-coding RNA of Alosa sapidissima (American shad), 250 nucleotides long. RefSeq lists it as uncharacterized. The record is from RefSeq and is a predicted model, not a curated record. Lineage: Eukaryota; Metazoa; Chordata; Actinopteri; Clupeiformes; Clupeidae. The transcript has 2 exons.
CCGGAAAUGCAAUGUCCAUCUAUGCUUUACUACCAAUCGCAACUGCUUCCUGAAGUUCCACACAGAAUAAACAAAUCAGAUCUCUGAAUCAGGAAAGGGUGUAUGACUGAAGUGCGAGCAGGCGAAGAGGGACCAGAUGAAAUGUCACCUCAUAAAUAGAUUUAUUAUGGCUAUUUUUAAUGUUGGCCAGUUGUUCUCUAAUAGUCAAUAUGUUUGUAAUGUGUUAUUUGUUCACUGGAUUGAUUAAAAU